AUCUAGCUGACAAGUCUUAAAAUAGGACGAAACGCACGUCCUAUAU
RNAcentral lists this non-coding RNA (46 nucleotides) under Schistosoma margrebowiei. Lineage: Eukaryota; Metazoa; Platyhelminthes; Trematoda; Strigeidida; Schistosomatidae. The record is from RNAcentral.